UCAGUUGUGUGUUAAGUGCCACUCUGGGUAAGGUUUUCAGUUCUCUGUGGCCUACAUGUUCUACUAUAUUCCUCCCUAAACUUUUAAGUAUUGUGUUUAUUGCCACUGUAACUUAAGUAUGAUCAUUUCUAGUUGGACUACAUGUUCUACUUACAUUCCUCCCUAAACUUUGGUUCUGUGUUAGAUCCCACUCUGGCUAGGGUAUGGAUUAGUUCUAGGUUGAUUACAUGUUCUACUUACAUUCCUCCCUAAACUUUGGUUCUGUGUUAGAUCCCACUCUGGCUAGGGUAUGGAUUAGUUCU
Mytilus californianus (California mussel) is the source of this 302-nucleotide long non-coding RNA. RefSeq lists it as uncharacterized. Lineage: Eukaryota; Metazoa; Mollusca; Bivalvia; Mytilida; Mytilidae. The record is from RefSeq and is a predicted model, not a curated record. The transcript has 3 exons.